RNAcentral lists this ribosomal RNA (493 nucleotides) under uncultured bacterium. RNAcentral's name for it is "partial 16S ribosomal RNA". It matches the Rfam family "Bacterial small subunit ribosomal RNA", at positions 29 to 523 of the family's 1533-position model. The record is from RNAcentral.
AUUGAACGCUGGCGGCAUGCUUUACACAUGCAAGUCGAACGGUAACAGGUUAAGCUGACGAGUGGCGAACGGGUGAGUAAUGCAUCGGAACGUGCUCGAUCGAGGGGGAUAACGCAGCGAAAGCUGCGCUAAUACCGCAUACGAUCUGAGGAUGAAAGCGGGGGACCGUAAGGCAUCGCGCGAUCGGAGCGGCCGAUGGCAGAUUAGGUAGUUGGUGGGGUAAGGGCUCACCAAGCCAACGAUCUGUAGCUGGUCUGAGAGGACGACCAGCCACACUGGGACGGAGAGAAGACUCAGAGUCCGACGGGAGUGAGCAGUGGGGAAGUUUUGACAAUAGGCGGAAUCCUGAUCCAGCAAUGCCGCGUGGAGGAAGAAGGGCUGCGGGUUGUAAACUGCUUUUGUACGGAGCGAAAAGGUUCUCUCUAAUACAGAGGGCUCAUGACGGUACCGUAAGAAUAAGCACCGGCUAACUACGUGCCAGCCGCCGCCGUAA